Molecule: ribosomal RNA, 2775 nt
Filed under: Shigella flexneri
Lineage: Bacteria; Pseudomonadati; Pseudomonadota; Gammaproteobacteria; Enterobacterales; Enterobacteriaceae
Description: partial 23S ribosomal RNA
Rfam family: Bacterial large subunit ribosomal RNA
Source: RNAcentral
CAGUGUGAUUCGUCACACUAUCAUUAACUGAAUCCAUAGGUUAAUGAGGCGAACCGGGGGAACUGAAACAUCUAAGUACCCCGAGGAAAAGAAAUCAACCGAGAUUCCCCCAGUAGCGGCGAGCGAACGGGGAGCAGCCCAGAGCCUGAAUCAGUGUGUGUGUUAGUGGAAGCGUCUGGAAAGGCGUGCGAUACAGGGUGACAGCCCCGUACACAAAAAUGCACAUACUGUGAGCUCGAUGAGUAGGGCGGGACACGUGGUAUCCUGUCUGAAUAUGGGGGGACCAUCCUCCAAGGCUAAAUACUCCUGACUGACCGAUAGUGAACCAGUACCGUGAGGGAAAGGCGAAAAGAACCCCGGCGAGGGGAGUGAAAAAGAACCUGAAACCGUGUACGUACAAGCAGUGGGAGCACGCUUAGGCGUGUGACUGCGUACCUUUUGUAUAAUGGGUCAGCGACUUAUAUUCUGUAGCAAGGUUAACCGAAUAGGGGAGCCGAAGGGAAACCGAGUCUUAACUGGGCGUUAAGUUGCAGGGUAUAGACCCGAAACCCGGUGAUCUAGCCAUGGGCAGGUUGAAGGUUGGGUAACACUAACUGGAGGACCGAACCGACUAAUGUUGAAAAAUUAGCGGAUGACUUGUGGCUGGGGGUGAAAGGCCAAUCAAACCGGGAGAUAGCUGGUUCUCCCCGAAAGCUAUUUAGGUAGCGCCUCGUGAAUUCAUCUCCGGGGGUAGAGCACUGUUUCGGCAAGGGGGUCAUCCCGACUUACCAACCCGAUGCAAACUGCGAAUACCGGAGAAUGUUAUUACGGGAGACACACGGCGGGUGCUAACGUCCGUCGUGAAGAGGGAAACAACCCAGACCGCCAGCUAAGGUCCCAAAGUCAUGGUUAAGUGGGAAACGAUGUGGGAAGGCCCAGACAGCCAGGAUGUUGGCUUAGAAGCAGCCAUCAUUUAAAGAAAGCGUAAUAGCUCACUGGUCGAGUCGGCCUGCGCGGAAGAUGUAACGGGGCUAAACCAUGCACCGAAGCUGCGGCAGCGACGCUUAUGCGUUGUUGGGUAGGGGAGCGUUCUGUAAGCCUGUGAAGGUGUGCUGUGAGGUAUGCUGGAGGUAUCAGAAGUGCGAAUGCUGACAUAAGUAACGAUAAAGCGGGUGAAAAGCCCGCUCGCCGGAAGACCAAGGGUUCCUGUCCAACGUUAAUCGGGGCAGGGUGAGUCGACCCCUAAGGCGAGGCCGAAAGGCGUAGUCGAUGGGAAACAGGUUAAUAUUCCUGUACUUGGUGUUACUGCGAAGGGGGGACGGAGAAGGCUAUGUUGGCCGGGCGACGGUUGUCCCGGUUUAAGCGUGUAGGCUGGUUUUCCAGGCAAAUCCGGAAAAUCAAGGCCGAGGCGUGAUGACGAGGCACUACGGUGCUGAAGCAACAAAUGCCCUGCUUCCAGGAAAAGCCUCUAAGCAUCAGGUAACAUCAAAUCGUACCCCAAACCGACACAGGUGGUCAGGUAGAGAAUACCAAGGCGCUUGAGAGAACUCGGGUGAAGGAACUAGGCAAAAUGGUGCCGUAACUUCGGGAGAAGGCACGCUGAUACGUAGGUGAAGCGACUUGCUCGUGGAGCUGAAAUCAGUCGAAGAUACCAGCUGGCUGCAACUGUUUAUUAAAAACACAGCACUGUGCAAACACGAAAGUGGACGUAUACGGUGUGACGCCUGCCCGGUGCCGGAAGGUUAAUUGAUGGGGUUAGCGCAAGCGAAGCUCUUGAUCGAAGCCCCGGUAAACGGCGGCCGUAACUAUAACGGUCCUAAGGUAGCGAAAUUCCUUGUCGGGUAAGUUCCGACCUGCACGAAUGGCGUAAUGAUGGCCAGGCUGUCUCCACCCGAGACUCAGUGAAAUUGAACUCGCUGUGAAGAUGCAGUGUACCCGCGGCAAGACGGAAAGACCCCGUGAACCUUUACUAUAGCUUGACACUGAACAUUGAGCCUUGAUGUGUAGGAUAGGUGGGAGGCUUUGAAGUGUGGACGCCAGUCUGCAUGGAGCCGACCUUGAAAUACCACCCUUUAAUGUUUGAUGUUCUAACGUGGACCCGUGAUCCGGGUUGCGGACAGUGUCUGGUGGGUAGUUUGACUGGGGCGGUCUCCUCCUAAAGAGUAACGGAGGAGCACGAAGGUUGGCUAAUCCUGGUCGGACAUCAGGAGGUUAGUGCAAUGGCAUAAGCCAGCUUGACUGCGAGCGUGACGGCGCGAGCAGGUGCGAAAGCAGGUCAUAGUGAUCCGGUGGUUCUGAAUGGAAGGGCCAUCGCUCAACGGAUAAAAGGUACUCCGGGGAUAACAGGCUGAUACCGCCCAAGAGUUCAUAUCGACGGCGGUGUUUGGCACCUCGAUGUCGGCUCAUCACAUCCUGGGGCUGAAGUAGGUCCCAAGGGUAUGGCUGUUCGCCAUUUAAAGUGGUACGCGAGCUGGGUUUAGAACGUCGUGAGACAGUUCGGUCCCUAUCUGCCGUGGGCGCUGGAGAACUGAGGGGGGCUGCUCCUAGUACGAGAGGACCGGAGUGGACGCAUCACUGGUGUUCGGGUUGUCAUGCCAAUGGCACUGCCCGGUAGCUAAAUGCGGAAGAGAUAAGUGCUGAAAGCAUCUAAGCACGAAACUUGCCCCGAGAUGAGUUCUCCCUGACCCUUUAAGGGUCCUGAAGGAACGUUGAAGACGACGACGUUGAUAGGCCGGGUGUGUAAGCGCAGCGAUGCGUUGAGCUAACCGGUACUAAUGAACCGUGAGGCUUAACCUU